RNAcentral lists this unclassified non-coding RNA (240 nucleotides) under soil metagenome. Its description in RNAcentral is "partial contains 5.8S ribosomal RNA, internal transcribed spacer 2, and large subunit ribosomal RNA". The record is from RNAcentral.
AACCUUAUGGACCUGCGGGCGUAUACCUGCGGAAGGAUCAUUACAGAGUUGCAAGACUCCCUAAACCAUUGUGAACCUACCUUCUACCGUUGCUUCGGCGGGCGGGCCCAGCGCCCCCCCGGCCCCCCGCGGGCGCCCGCCGGAGGAUACCCAAACUCUUGACAUUAGUGGCCUCUCUGAGUAUUCUUUACUGAAUAAGUCAAAACUUUCAACAAUGGAUCUCAGAUCGGAAGAGCACAC